This 885-nucleotide long non-coding RNA is filed under the name Homo sapiens (human). Its description in RNAcentral is "HSALNT0391615". The record is from RNAcentral. Lineage: Eukaryota; Metazoa; Chordata; Mammalia; Primates; Hominidae.
CCCAAGUGCCUCUUGCUACAGGCCCCGCCUGGUCUUUUCCAUGAGGUGCCAUCAGCCCCAUUUCUGGAAGAAUAAAAAAGUGAAAGAAAAAAAUGCGGAGGAUUUCACAUACUUUGGCUCAGGGCCUUGUUGGAAAUGAUCAGAGAAAUGUCCUUCGAGUGAAGCCCGAAGCCGCCAGCAUUGGUGUCUUCUGACCCUCCUGGCUGUUUGUAUACACCUGCAAGGACUGUAAUAUCCGGAGGCGUCUUGCCAAGAAUUGUCUGAAAAUGCCUCCCUCCUGGGCUUUGCUGUCAUGUGAGGAGUCAAGAUUCACUGGUGUCAGGGAUGUGAGGUUCUUUGACAGUUUUCCAGGCUUCUUCUGACAAAGUUUUGAACCGACUCUUCCUCAAGGUGACCUAUCUUCAGCAGAGCUGGAUCUUUUCUUCCUCAACUCUGUCAGGAGCAGGAGUGGGAGCUGGUCGCCUGGACCAGGCUGCAGAGCUGAGGCACCCAGCACUUUUUCUGCUCUGUGGUUCUUACUCUCAAGAACUGAGAGGAGUCAGUUAUGUUAGAAGCAGCUUUCUCCAAUUCCGGGGUUUAUGCCUUUUCCUUGCUCAGGACCUAGUAUUGCAUCAUUUGUUAUCCAUGGCAAUUUUGGUUCACUCAAGAGCCACUGCCAGAAAGUUGUCUUUCCCCACCCCCAGCAGCAAAGCAGCCCCCAAACAAGUCAUCUUAGGAAUUCCUCAAUUCCUGCAGAUGGGAAGGAGACAGCCACAGCGCAGCUCACGAUGGAAGCAGCACUGUCUUCCCCAGGCUACAGCCUCCAUUUGUAAAAUUCAAAGCCAUGCACAGAGACUGGGGGUGUGGAGCCUGUAAACCCUUUCAAGAAAAAAAUAAAAUAAAAAC